CCCACGAGUACAUUAAUAUAAAAUUUCUGAAGAAUGCUUGCGCCCAUAUAAACACUAUCACAUUUUUGCGGUCAAAUAAUAACUACUGAUGAGGGCCUGCUGAGUUCCUCCAGCAUUUUGUGUGUGUUGCUUAUUAGGGUUCCUAGUUAAACGAAUCUCUCACAUGUAGCGCAAGGUUACUAGAGCAAUUCCAUAGUUAACAUGACACACUGAUUUUGUUUUUCAAAAGAAACUGCAAGAUUUCAUGUGAAAUGUGCUGAUUUUGACCGUGAAGAGAGUUUGCGGAAAGAAGGGGAGCUGAACGGGACGGACAGACACCACGUGAAGUGGAGGGAGUUUCAUGGGUUGAGAUCCGGCUAGGUUUUGGACUCUAAUUUCAUUUCGGAAUCUCAGCCUGAACUUCAUUCGUCUUUCUAACAGGAUUAAAUAUUGUGCUUGGAUUUCUUCGAACAUUAUUGAUUAUUUGGAUUAUAGGAAUUUGUUCUUUCAGUAUACCGUACUAUGUGGCUGCAGGUUACCCAUCUCUUCCAAAACCUUGGUAGACAUUGCAAUGUACAAGUAAAUACAUGGGUAAAAACUAAAGCAGGUUUGGCCAGGCAACAAUUUAUGCUCCACACCAGGAGCCUGAUUCUUUCGCCAUGUCCAAGGACUGAAGAAAAUAAUGUCAGGCCUGACAAAAUAGAUUUAGAUUUUUGGAAGACUGUCCUGAGAGAAACUACAACUGAAGCUUCCAAACAAUUACCCUCUGAAGGCCUUGGGGACUCGUCCCUUGCUGCCACAAGAGAACUAAUUCAAAUGUGGCAAUUAGCUGGGAAGGUUGUUCCAGAAAACAUAACAGAUGAACAGUUAAAAACCUUUCAAGAACUGUCUACUAAAUCUGCAAAGAAAAAGUACCUGAAGCAUUUAGCAAUCAAGGAAGGGAAAAAGAAAGCUACAAAAGAGAAACAAAAAUUAAAGCAAGAAGCAAAGCUGUUACAUAAAGAAGUCAAAUGUGAGGAAGGAGUUGCAUUAAAGAAUACUUUUCUUUUACAACUAUGGCAACGGUCUUUUGAUCUAAUGUACAAUUGGAGGGCAGCCCAAUCUAUGGUAUUUGGACAGCCACUGGUGUUUGAUAUGAGUUAUGAACACUAUAUGAACCGUAGAGAAAUGGAGAAUACUGUCUCUCAGCUGAUGGAGGGUGAAGGAUGCAACAGGAGAUCCUUGGACCCAUUUCACUUGCAUUUCUGUAAUCUUGGCUCAGAUGGAGGCUAUCAUAGAGAGCUUUUGAAACGCUAUGGAGAUGCUUGGCAUAAUCUCUUAAUUACGGCAACACAUGAGUCGUAUGUUGACAUUUUUCCCAAAGACAAGCUUGUGUAUUUAACUGCAGAUUCUCCUUUUGUACUGAACACAUUUCAGCAUGAUAAAGUCUACAUCAUUGGAUCCAUUGUUGAUAAAUCAAUCCAAACAGGAUUAUCUCUUGCAAAUGCAAAACGUUUGAAGUUGGCAACUGCACGUCUUCCUUUGGACGAGUAUUUGAACUGGAACAGCGGUGCAAAAAAUCUUACGUUGAACCAAAUGAUCAACAUUUUAUUGACUGUGAAAGAAACUGGCAACUGGCACAAGGCCCUCAAAUUUGUUCCACAAAGGAAACAUGAAGGAUUUUUAUCAGUCCCAUUACAACAAAGAUACAGUAGUAGAAUCAGAAAACAACAUACGUUAAAUAACAAUGAACCAGAAAAGAAAGCUAAAUGGCAAAAGUCAACUUCAGAUGCAAAUCUUCAUAAAAGAAAACAAUGGUGGAUGGAUGUAGAUUAAAGAUCCCAAAAAUAUUUUAAAUACUGAUUCUACUACAAAAAUUACCUUUAUUGAUUCUCUUCAAUCUUCAUGAUGGAUUGCUGUCAAAUAAUGUAAAUUUUGAAAAUGAUAAAAAUAUAAUUUUAAAGCACACCUUCCCCUGUUCGGUGCACUGAUUAUAAACAACAAUUGUCAGAUUCCAGCAUCUGCAGCCUUGUGCAGCUCGAUGCCUCAUAAUGUUCCGCACCACCAUCGCGCCAAAUGUGAUAGGGAGACAAUUUGGAUCUGAAAAUUGGGCAUCUAAAGGCACUGAGGACCAUCAACAGCUGAAGAAAUGUACACUUCUACUAGCUGUGUCCUCGUGGCCUGACAUAUCCCUCACUCCACAUUACAAUCAGACCUGCCAUCACUGAAGGUGGAAAUGUUGAUGAACCUGCCCUCUGUUAGCCCUUUAUUCUCUAUAAUCAUUCACAGCUGGCAGUACUGCUGCACUUGAUAUGAUCUAUUAGUUGCAGACUGCUUGGUUCUGUCCGUUGCAUGUGCUCUUCUGCACGGUAAGCAUGUGAUCCUAUUUUACAGUUCUGAUGGUUGAUGCGUUUUUAGAAAUGCCUGGUACUGUCUCAACAUGUCUCAUUCUGUUGCUUACGGAGGCAGGGUCAUAUUAAAAAAGGCUGUGCGGCAACACCCAGAGCUAAGAAUUCUCAUUUGAACUGUCCAGUUUAGCACAACAUUAACAAACAAUAAAAAUGACUCACAUCCUUGUUCACAUUGAUCAACAAGCAACUGUAGAUAAAGAAUAAUGGAGAGCAUUGUAGAUGUCUGGAUCACAAAUGUGAGAAUACACAACUUCACCGCUUGGUGACUGAAUGACAUUAGGCGCAGGGCUGUCCCAUAGUUGGCCAGCUACAUUGCACAAGCGUCUGUGGACAGGAAGACGGCGAUCAUGUUCAAGCUAGUGAUGGGGCUAGAAUCACAGAUAAAAUCACAGGUACUACUAAUACUGUGGUUUGUAACCUACAUUCAUAAUUGAAGGAAAUGCUAAGUUUCAGUUAGAGGUUAGUGAAAAUAAAAGAUGUAAUUUUUUCCCAUCCACUUUCACGGAUCUCCAAGGGGACUGUGGACUCCAGGUUUAAAAACCCCUGCUCUAGUGGAUUCACCUGUAGCAAUAAUUGGAAAUAGUCUUGCUCCUUGAUGACUGGUUACAGUCGAGAAGCAGGGCUGUGUAUAAAUGACAACAUGGUGCAGCAGAAUAAACCAAACCCACUGAACAGCUGAGUUCAAACUUUGUCAACUGGCUGGACUAUACCCUUUGCAGAAACAUUCAAACUUGCACUCUGUGGCCUCUAUCCCUACCACCGAUCCCACAAUGUCUUUGACCCACUACCAUCAGGAGGGAGGGACAGAAGCUUUAGGACUAAGACUACCAGACUGGGUAACAGCUUCUCCCCUCAGGCUGAGAGACUAAUGAAUACUCUGGCAUCACUAAGGCAGUGGGCUGUUUACUGUUCACUGUGCUGCGCACUACAUUUUGAAUUGUAUAUUAUUAACUUAUGGUAAUAUUUUGUUUUAUGUGGUGUGUGUAAUAUACGUUUUGUGGGUGCACCAUAGUCUGGAGGAACUUUGUUUCAUUUGAUUGUAUACAUGUACAGUCAGAUGAUAACUUAAACAUGAACUGUCAGCUUGAACCAGUCUGGCCAUUCUCUUCUGACCUCUCAUUAAGAAGGCUUUUUCGCCCAUUGAACCACUGCUCGUUGGAUUUGUUUUUUUUUUUUUUUUUUUGGUUUUUCAUACCAUUCUCUGUAAACUCAAGACUUGUGCAUGAAAAUACCAGGAGAUCAGAAGUUUCUCAAAUACUCAAAGCACCCCAUCUGGCACCAACAAUUCCACGGUCAACGUCACUUAGAUCGCAUUUCUUCCCCAUUGUGAUGUUUGGUCUAAACAACACCAGAAUCUGGACUACAUCUGCAUGCUUUUAUGUAUUC
RNA transcript from Mobula hypostoma (lesser devil ray), 3755 nucleotides. It is a transcript of the gene named tRNA methyltransferase 10C, mitochondrial RNase P subunit, with no coding region annotated. The transcript has 3 exons. The record is from RefSeq and is a predicted model, not a curated record. NCBI's taxonomy places the organism in Eukaryota, Metazoa, Chordata, Chondrichthyes, Myliobatiformes, Myliobatidae.